Molecule: long non-coding RNA, 559 nt
Organism: Culex quinquefasciatus (southern house mosquito)
Lineage: Eukaryota; Metazoa; Arthropoda; Insecta; Diptera; Culicidae
Exons: 3
Source: RefSeq, a predicted model, not a curated record
CGCAGGCAAAAACAGUCUGAUGUUAAUCGUUUGUACGGCUGGUUGUUGUUUACGUUUUGUACGCAGCGCCGUGGAGAACUUGAUAAAAACGGAACAGCUGGUGCUGAAGAACUCGAUCGGUAAUCAAAAGAGAUUUUGCCGGCAACCGGCCGACAAUAUUGUUCCGCCGAGGAUGCGACCAAGCAAACAAACGAUUGGCAUCAAGCAAUCUGAAUAAUCAGAUAGGUUUGGACGAUUUUGGCAGUAUGAUCAACUAAACAGAAUCGACAUCGCCGCUAAAGUUUAAAUAUUAUUAUUGUGAACCAUCCGUUCAAAAAGUGAACAAUACUGUAAAAAAUAAGUAGGUAAAAAAUGUAAGAAAAACUUUUAAAAACCAUUUCAAAACUAUUUCUAAAGUAGUAAAUUUGUAUGAUAAACUUCAAUUUACCAUUUAAAAACUAUUACUCAAAUAGUGAAACUGCGAAAAAAUGUAGGAUAAACCUUAAAUAACCAUAUGGAAACUAUUUCCAAAAUAGUAGCCGUAGGUAAAAAUAGCAAGAAAAAUCUUAAAAAACCAUUU